This is a long non-coding RNA of Ahaetulla prasina, 2395 nucleotides long. RefSeq lists it as uncharacterized. NCBI's taxonomy places the organism in Eukaryota, Metazoa, Chordata, Lepidosauria, Squamata, Colubridae. The transcript has 3 exons. The record is from RefSeq and is a predicted model, not a curated record.
CCCACAGGUCCCAUUCCCAUGCAGUGGGAUGACAAAAAGCCCCUCAUUUGGAGCUGCAGUAAUUAAUCACCAUAUACUACAGGUAUGGCAGCUAUUGUUAGCCAAAAGAAGGAUGGGCCAAGGGCAGGCACUGAUGCAGGAGGCUGGAAGGCGGAGGCCAGCUGUCCUGCUCUGAAGAGACCAUCAUUAAGAGUAAUGGAAGGUGGCCACACAGAAUUUGGUUCUUCUUAAUACUGUGUACACCCAGCCCUGGAACUGUGAUAUUUUAGGAACACAGAAAAACAACCCUUCAAUAUACUGCUUAAAAGUUCCUGGCUUUUCCCUUCUGGGCUCCCACUGAAAUAUACAGGAGGCAGCUUCCAUAUUUCCAAGGGUGGGGGCUUCAGGGGUUCCUCUCUGCCCUCUUAAUGCUCCAUUGGAGACCCUCCCUCCCCACAGCCUGCCUGCCACAGACUUUGCAUCUAAGGAGACCCUGGAGGUACCUUCAGCACCUCAUGUAGAAGCAAACCCAUCCAUUUCACAAAUGAGUUGGCAUCUGCCUCGCCAUUCCUCCCAUCUGACAACACCCCCCCCCAUCCUCAUUUCUGCUGAGGUUCUUCUUCAGGAAAAGGAGGAAUGAGGAAGCUGGUGCUUCUAUGGGUUUUCUUCAAAGGAGGAUGCAGCCAAAAAGGCUGCACUUCCCAGCAGCCCUCUUGUCUCGCCAAGCCCCAAAACUCAAAACUGCUCGGUAUGAAGGGCGGAGAGGAAGAUCCACUGUUAGCAGCUUGCAGUAUCUUUACCUUGGGAGGGUCCUGGCAGAUCUUAAAACCUCCGCCUCCACCCACGCAGUGAGGCCGACUGGAAGCCACAAAUGGAGAGAAGGAAGUAGCAGCUUUUGAACUAUUGCCAGUUGCCGAUGCAAUGCUGAGGAAAGUGGCUUCCCAGGGGAGAAGGGACAAGCGGGCCAAGGAGAUGAAGGAGAGUGAAGAAAGAAGAGUCCUUUGAACGGAGGGCUGCCCUAAAUUGUAAAGGAUUGUGAUCAAAGCUGCAAUGUGGCAGCUGUUUUAAAAACAACCCAAAUCAAUCUGGCAAGGUUAUCGCAAUGAAACAAAUGUUACAUGCUUUGUACACUAAUUAGAGCCUGUGGCUUUUCUUUUUCUUUUUUUAACAAUGGUGAUUUUUCUCCCCACUUCCCCCCCAAAGAAGGAAUAGCAGAUGGAGGGGAUAUAAGGGAAUAUUGGAAACUAAGAUAAUCAUGUUUGGUUUUGAAUUCGGGACGACUGAUGAUGGGAGAGGAAGACACUUCCACAGACACGGGAGGGAGAAGGACAUGGUCCAUAAUUUAAUCCCUCUUUGUAUAUGUCACUCCCUAGGAAUGGAUCAAAGAAACAUAGAAACUCAAGAUCAUGAUGCUAGAUUGAAUAGGGAUCGGAUGGCUAAAAAGAUCACCAAGGAAGCACAGGCUUUCUUUCCUAACUUGAAGUUUGAAAUUGUAGUUUUUUGUUAGGUAAGACAAUACUACAGCAGUGGAGUCAUUGUCUCAAUCUUUCCUAAAAAGGUAAAGGUUCCCCUCACACAUAUGUGCUAGUUGCUCCCGACUCUAGGGGGCGGUGCUCAUCUCCGUUUCAAAGCUGAAGAGCCAGCGCUGUCUGAAGACGUCUCCGUGGUCAUGUGGCCGGCAUGACUCAAAGCCAAAGGCGCACGGAACACUGUUACCUUCCCACCAAAGGUGGUCCCUAUUUUUUCUACUUGCAUUUUUUAUGUGCUUUCGAACUGCUAGGUUGGCAGAAGUUGGGACAAGGAACGGAAGCUCACCCCGUUAGGCGGCACUAGGGAUUCGAACCGCUGAACUGGCAACCUUUUGAUUGACAAGCUCAGUGUCUUAGCCACUGAGCCACCAUGUCCCUAAAUCCUGCCUGGGACCACACAAAUACAGGUCGUUCUCGACUUACAACAGUUCACCUGGUGACCGUUUGAAGUUACUACGGCACUGAAAAAAGUGACUUAUGACCAUAUUUGACACUUAUGACCAUCGCAGGAUUCUCCAUGGUCAUGAAAUUUAUAUUCAGAUGUUUGACAACUGACUCACAUUUAUGAUGGUUGCAGUGUCCUGGGGCGGGGGGUGAUGUGAUCACCUUCUGCAACCUUCUGACAAGCAAAGUCAAUGGGGAAACCAAAUUCUCUUAACAACUGUGGACUCAUUCGCUUAACAAAUGGACUCAAUUGUGGUCAUAAGUUGAAGACUACCUGUACUUUUAAGCUAGCUAUCCAUGUUUUAGACCAGAGGUCUGCAACCUUAAACACUCAAAGAGCCAUUUGGACUGUUUACCACAGAAAAGAAAACACCGGGAGCCGCAAAACCCUUCCUGUGCCUGACUAUUUCCUGAGCGGGCACAAAACUAGCAUAUGGAGUUGA